This 97-nucleotide non-coding RNA is filed under the name marine sediment metagenome. RNAcentral's name for it is "Pyrrolysine insertion sequence mttB". It matches the Rfam family "Pyrrolysine insertion sequence mttB". The record is from RNAcentral. RNAcentral also lists the same sequence under 1 other name.
GACGGACUCUAAAAUUCCUGAUGCACAAUCAGGAUACGAAAAAGGAUACACUGUUUCACUAGCAGCACAUUCUGGAGCAAAUAUGGUGUACGAAUCU